AAUAUUGCACAAUGGGGGAAACCCUGAUGCAGCAACGCCGCGUGAGGGAUGAAUGCCUUCGGGUUGUAAACCUCUUUUAGUAGGGAAGAAGCCUUCGGGUGACGGUACCUGCAGAAAAAGCACCGGCUAACUACGUGCCAGCAGCCGCGGUAAUACGUAGGGUGCAAGCGUUGUCCGGAAUUAUUGGGCGUAAAGAGCUCGUAGGCGGCUUGUCGCGUCUGCUGUGAAAUCCUGAGGCUCAACCUUGGGCGUGCAGUGGGUACGGGCAGGCUAGAGUGCGGUAGGGGAGAUUGGAAUUCCUGGUGUAGCGGUGGAAUGCGCAGAUAUCAGGAGGAACACCGAUGGCGAAGGCAGAUCUCUGGGCCGUAACUGACGCUGAGGAGCGAAAGCAUGGGGAGCGAACAG
RNAcentral lists this ribosomal RNA (405 nucleotides) under uncultured bacterium. Its description in RNAcentral is "partial 16S ribosomal RNA". It matches the Rfam family "Bacterial small subunit ribosomal RNA", at positions 360 to 775 of the family's 1533-position model. The record is from RNAcentral.